RNAcentral lists this ribosomal RNA (253 nucleotides) under uncultured bacterium. Its description in RNAcentral is "partial 16S ribosomal RNA". It matches the Rfam family "Bacterial small subunit ribosomal RNA", at positions 524 to 776 of the family's 1533-position model. The record is from RNAcentral.
UACAGAGGUCUCAAGCGUUGUUCGGAUCCAUUGGGCGUAAAGGGUGCGUAGGUGGCGCCGUAAGUCAGGUGUGAAAUCUCGGGGCUCAACCCCGAAACUGCACUUGAUACUGCGGUGCUCGAGUACUGGAGAGGAGAUUGGAAUUUACGGUGUAGCAGUGAAAUGCGUAGAUAUCGUAAGGAAGACCAGUGGCGAAGGCGAAUCUCUGGACAGUUACUGACACUGAGGCACGAAGGCCAGGGGAGCAAACGGG